RNAcentral lists this long non-coding RNA (1273 nucleotides) under Cyanistes caeruleus (blue tit). Its description in RNAcentral is "lncRNA (ENSCCEG00000008592.1)". Lineage: Eukaryota; Metazoa; Chordata; Aves; Passeriformes; Paridae. The record is from RNAcentral.
AUGAAUGGCUGCCUAACAAGCAUGAGAAGUGUUAAUGAAGCAGGCAUUAUUCUUUCAAUGAGCAGGUGGAAGUGUUCUCUUUGUGGGCAUCUCCAGUCAGGGGUACUGUAUGCUUUCUCUUUUCUUGCUGUUACUAAAGGGGUUUUUUGGUGGCAAGAAGGAGAUGAUAGCAACAGCUUAUUGUUGAAUGUUGCCUUUACAGUUGCAUAUACUCUGUUCAGAUGGGAAAAAACUUUGGAACAAAGAAGCAAAAUGAAUGAUUUAUUGCUUUAAUACCUACCUGCAAAAUAUUUUUUCCUCUUUGAUUUGUCUCAACACAUGCUUAUUCAAUAAUGUAAAAAGUGCUUUUCUGCAAGGUAUAAGUUCUUUCUAGUGUCUAACCAGCAGAGAGAGUGAAAAAGACAACAGAGGUUUUUGUUCUUGUAGGCCAUUUUUGCAGACAUUGUUUAGCUGUUUUCACUUGAAUUUUUUGCUGUUUUUCUCUGUAUUCAUGAGUUGUGCCUUUUCUUUGCUGCGAAGAUUUUUACUUUCCCUAAACACACAGACUUUCCAGCUUCUUUACUGUUUCCUGUAGCAAACUGCAUGGUCUUUAUAGUAGUUAAUGCACCCUUCCUUACCAAUUGUGGAUGCUUUUUGUAGUCAUGUGAUAAUUCUUUGAUGUAUAAAUGUGUACACUCAUGUGCCUUCUUCUUGCCUUGCUUCCCUUGUUUAACACCAAUCCAUAUGACUUGAGUGCUUCAGUGAUUACUUUAAAUUUUUUGCUUUUACUUAGAUGGUUGGCAAUUACAAGUCUAUUUUGACUCAUGAUUUUGCUCAUUGGUCAGUCACUUUAAUUUUUAUUAAUUUUGUAUAUCACAGAAUUGCAUGUCCUAAUAUGAAGUUGUUUUUUUUUCAUAUUACUCUUCUUCCACUCUUAGAUUUGUCAAUCUUUUCAGUCCAUGCCCUCUUUCCUUCGCCUGUUCUGUAUUUGUUUCUAGAAAGUGUUGUGGGAUAACUUACUUUCCACAAGUUCUCACUGAUCUGCCAUUCUUCAAAGUUUCCUUUUUUUUUUAAUCCCCUUUUCCUCUUCCUGCAUAUGGAAUACAUUGUCUAUAUUUAACACUACAGCACCAGCUAUUCUUCAGUUCAUCUUCUACUUUAUUAGUACCCUUAGCUGUCAUGUCAGCUUGUUACUUUAGUCUUGCAGCAAAAUUCCCUAUAACUUUAAGGUGAAGGGUUUACGUGUUGCAGUCACCCAUCCCUGCUGCAGUGUGCGUGUAGUUAUAUUUUCCUG